Molecule: ribosomal RNA, 551 nt
Filed under: bacterium enrichment culture clone Cont143_3130
Lineage: Bacteria
Description: bacterial SSU rRNA
Rfam family: Bacterial small subunit ribosomal RNA
Source: RNAcentral
AGAGUUUGAUCCUGGCUCAGAAUGAACGCUGGCGGCGUGCUUAACACAUGCAAGUCGAACGAGAAAAGCCUGAUUUCGGUUGGGCGAGUAAAGUGGCGCACGGGUGAGUAACGCGUAGACAACCUACCCCCGGGACUGGGAUAACUACUCGAAAGGGUGGCUAAUACCGCAUGAGACCACGGGGCCGUAAAGACCCUGAGGCCAAAGGCUGCAUCGGCUUGCCGGUGCAGUCACCGGGGGAUGGGCCCGCGUCCGAUUAGCUAGUUGGCGAGGUAACGGCUCACCAAGGCUACGAUCGGUAGCUGGUCUGAGAGGAUGAUCAGCCACACUGGAACUGGAACACGGUCCAGACUCCUACGGGAGGCAGCAGUGAGGAAUAUUGCGCAAUGGGGGAAACCCUGACGCAGCAACGCCGCGUGGGUGAAGAAGGCCUUCGGGUCGUAAAGCCCUUUCGGACGGGACGAACGCUCACCGGUGACAAGCCGGGGGGAGCCUGACGGUACCGUAGGAAGAAGCAACCGGCUAACUCCGUGCCAGCAGCCGCGGUAAUA